CAGUUUCGAUUUGUUGAGGGCAAAUAAAAUGAAUGUGACUGUCAAUGCCACCGGCGGUAAGAAUCAUUCCUUCCCCAGCAACGGCCUCAGUAGAUGGGCCAAUAAUAAUAUCGACAUUGUCUUGGAUAUAGGGAUUUCCUGCUUUGCCAAUCUUGAAAAUUUUGCCGUCUUUGAUGCCGACAUCGGCUUUGACAAUGCCCCACCAAUCAAGGAUUAAGGCAUUAGUGAUUACCAUAUCUACUGCGCCAUCUGCUCGGGUUAUGGGUGAUUGUCCCAUGCCAUCACGAAUUA
This 291-nucleotide small RNA is filed under the name Xenococcus sp. PCC 7305. RNAcentral describes it as "5' ureB small RNA". It matches the Rfam family "5' ureB small RNA". The record is from Rfam by way of RNAcentral. Lineage: Bacteria; Bacillati; Cyanobacteriota; Cyanophyceae; Pleurocapsales; Xenococcaceae.